RNAcentral lists this ribosomal RNA (274 nucleotides) under uncultured bacterium. RNAcentral describes it as "partial 16S ribosomal RNA". It matches the Rfam family "Bacterial small subunit ribosomal RNA", at positions 523 to 796 of the family's 1533-position model. The record is from RNAcentral.
AUACGGAGGGUGCAAGCGUUAUCCGGAAUCAUUGGGUUUAAAGGGUCCGUAGGCGGACUAUUAAGUCAGAGGUGAAAUCCCACAGCUCAACUGUGGAACUGCCUUUGAUACUGGUAGUCUUGAGUUAUAUGGAAGUAGAUAGAAUGUGUAGUGUAGCGGUGAAAUGCAUAGAUAUUACACAGAAUACCGAUUGCGAAGGCAGUCUACUACGUAUAUACUGACGCUAAGGGACGAGAGCGUGGGGAGCGAACAGGAUUAGAAACCCUAGUAGUCC